Molecule: transfer RNA, 72 nt
Filed under: Bos taurus (domestic cattle)
Lineage: Eukaryota; Metazoa; Chordata; Mammalia; Artiodactyla; Bovidae
Also listed under: 5 other names
Rfam family: tRNA
About the family: Transfer RNA (tRNA) molecules are approximately 80 nucleotides in length. Their secondary structure includes four short double-helical elements and three loops (D, anti-codon, and T loops). Further hydrogen bonds mediate the characteristic L-shaped molecular structure. tRNAs have two regions of fundamental functional importance: the anti-codon, which is responsible for specific mRNA codon recognition, and the 3' end, to which the tRNAs corresponding amino acid is attached (by aminoacyl-tRNA synthetases). tRNAs cope with the degeneracy of the genetic code in two manners: having more than one tRNA (with a specific anti-codon) for a particular amino acid; and 'wobble' base-pairing, i.e. permitting non-standard base-pairing at the 3rd anti-codon position.
Source: Rfam by way of RNAcentral
UCCCUGAUGGCUCAGUUGGUAAAGAAUCCACCUGCAAUGUGGGAGACCUGGGUUCAAUCCCUGGGUUGGGAA